CAGAGAGUUUAUCCACGAAGGAUAGCGGUUCUGAUCCCCCGUCACCAAAAAAAAAAAAGAUCCAACCAGAUUAAUCUAUUAAAUAAUAAUGCAAAAAACUUUAAAAUAAUGAAAAAAGUGGAGGCUCGUGGAAUCAUUAGGAUUGAUAGGAUGGUUAAAAUCCAGCAACAGAACCACAUGAUUCUACAAUUUAAUUUUCCUGUUAGAAUUGGAUCGUAGAAUACAACCAUAUGAUCAUAACAUCCGGAUCGAGAGAAUAUAACAACCAUGGUUCUACUUUCUUCAAAUAUCUACCAAGGGUCUAUAAUUUAACAUCUAAUUUUCUGCAGCUUAUGAUUUUUAUUGGUAUAUUAUAUUAUAUUCAUUUAUCUGAAAUUGAUUGAAGGAAUCAGUAAAGUUGCAGACUGCAUCAAUGGUGGUCAGCAGUCAGAAUUAUGCUAUCACAAUUCCACUAGUUAUCCUUUUACUUUGAUUAAUGGUAAUUAU
RNAcentral lists this long non-coding RNA (486 nucleotides) under Olea europaea subsp. europaea. Lineage: Eukaryota; Viridiplantae; Streptophyta; Magnoliopsida; Lamiales; Oleaceae. The record is from RNAcentral.